Molecule: ribosomal RNA, 480 nt
Filed under: Flavobacteriaceae bacterium enrichment culture clone NPHTC-017
Lineage: Bacteria; Pseudomonadati; Bacteroidota; Flavobacteriia; Flavobacteriales; Flavobacteriaceae
Description: bacterial SSU rRNA
Rfam family: Bacterial small subunit ribosomal RNA
Source: RNAcentral
GGUUUUUGUUAUGGCUCAGGAUGAACGCUAGCGGCAGGCUUAACACAUGCAAGUCGAGGGGUAACAGAAGUAGCUUGCUACUUGCUGACGACCGGCGCACGGGUGCGUAACGCGUAUAGAAUCUACCUUGUACUAGGGGAUAGCCUUUGGAAACGAAGAUUAAUACCCUAUAGUAAGUAUUUAUGGCAUCAUUUAUACUUUAAAGGUUACGGUACAAGAUGACUAUGCGUCCUAUUAGUUUGUUGGUGAGGUAACGGCUUACCAAGACAUCGAUAGGUAGGGGCCCUGAGAGGGGGAUCCCCCACACUGGUACUGAGACACGGACCAGACUCCUACGGGAGGCAGCAGUGAGGAAUAUUGGACAAUGGAGGCAACUCUGAUCCAGCCAUGCCGCGUGCAGGAUGACGGCCCUAUGGGUUGUAAACUGCUUUUAUGUAGGAAGAAACACUCUCACGUGUGAGAGCUGACGGUACUACAAGA